UCCCCUCACGAUUAUGAAUCAGGGUGAUGC
RNAcentral lists this non-coding RNA (30 nucleotides) under Rattus norvegicus (Norway rat). Lineage: Eukaryota; Metazoa; Chordata; Mammalia; Rodentia; Muridae. The record is from RNAcentral.